Molecule: ribosomal RNA, 497 nt
Filed under: uncultured bacterium
Lineage: Bacteria
Description: partial 16S ribosomal RNA
Rfam family: Bacterial small subunit ribosomal RNA
Source: RNAcentral
GAUGAACGCUGGCGGCGUGCCUAAUACAUGCAAGUCGAGCGAACAGAUGAGGAGCUUGCUCCUCUGACGUUAGCGGCGGACGGGUGAGUAACACGUGGAUAACCUACCUAUAAGACUGGGAUAACUUCGGGAAACCGGAGCUAAUACCGGAUAAUAUAUUGAACCGCAUGGUUCAAUAGUGAAAGACGGUUUUGCUGUCACUUAUAGAUGGAUCCGCGCCGCAUUAGCUAGUUGGUAAGGUAACGGCUUAUCAAGGCGACGAUGCGUAGCCGACCUGAGAGGGUGAUCGGCCACACUGGAACUGAGACGCGGUCCAGACUCCUACGGGAGGCCGCAGUAGGGAAUCUUCCGCAAUGGGCGAAAGCUUGACGGAGCAACGCCGCGUGAGUGAUGAAGGUCUUCGGAUCGUAAAACUCUGUUAUUAGGGAAGAACAAAUGUGUAAGUAACUAUGCACGUCUUGACGGUACCUAAUCAGAAAGCCACGGCUAACUACGUG